RNAcentral lists this ribosomal RNA (428 nucleotides) under uncultured prokaryote. RNAcentral's name for it is "bacterial SSU rRNA". It matches the Rfam family "Bacterial small subunit ribosomal RNA", at positions 355 to 774 of the family's 1533-position model. The record is from RNAcentral.
UGAGGAAUAUUGCGCAAUGGGGGCAACCCUGACGCAGCGACGCCGCGUGAGUGAGGAAGGCCUUCGGGUCGUAAAGCUCUGUCAAAGGGAAAGAAGUGCAUGAUGGUUAAUACCUGUCAUGUUUGACGGUACCCUUAAAGGAAGCACCGGCUAACUCCGUGCCAGCAGCCGCGGUAAUACGGAGGGUGCAAGCGUUGUUCGGAAUCACUGGGCGUAAAGGGCGCGUAGGCGGUUUGAUAAGUCAGAUGUGAAAGCCCACGGCUUAACGUUGGAAGUGCAUUUGAAACUGUCAGACUUGAGUAUCAGAGGGGAAAGUGGAAUUCCCGGUGUAGAGGUGAAAUUCGUAGAUAUCGGGAGGAAUACCGGUGGCGAAGGCGACUUUCUGGCUGAAUACUGACGCUGAGGCGCGAAAGCGUGGGGAGCAAACA